GGGUGCUAGACGUUGGCGAGCUUGCUCGUCAGUGUCGCAGCUAACGCGUUAAGCACCCCGCCUGGGGAGUACGGCCGCAAGGUUGAAACUCAAAGGAAUUGACGGGGGCCCGCACAAGCGGUGGAGCAUGUGGUUCAAUUCGACGCAACGCGAAGAACCUUACCAGCCCUUGACAUGUGACUCGCCGGGAGCAGAGACGCUCCCUUCGGUUCGGCCGGAGUCAACACAGGUGCUGCAUGGCUGUCGUCAG
RNAcentral lists this ribosomal RNA (250 nucleotides) under uncultured bacterium. RNAcentral's name for it is "partial 16S ribosomal RNA". It matches the Rfam family "Bacterial small subunit ribosomal RNA", at positions 811 to 1058 of the family's 1533-position model. The record is from RNAcentral.